Molecule: long non-coding RNA, 228 nt
Filed under: Gossypium barbadense (sea-island cotton)
Lineage: Eukaryota; Viridiplantae; Streptophyta; Magnoliopsida; Malvales; Malvaceae
Description: long non-coding RNA (GBAR_LNC007712)
Source: RNAcentral
CAGUGAUAGUGACAACUUAGAGCAAAACACCUAGAUAUGGCAAAAGAACAUGAAGUAAAGGAAGUUUUGGCAGAAAGGAAAAUGGAUGAAAAAAAAUAAAGAAAAUAGGAAGAUAAGAAAGAAAAAAAAAUCAAAGAAAUUUUUAACAGUCAAUUACGUGAAAACAAAAAUGGAAAAGUAGGGGAGAGAAAAAAGAACGUCACUAGAGAGGAGAGUGGGAGAGAGACG